UACGGGGGGGGCAAGCGUUGUUCGGAAUUACUGGGCGUAAAGGGCGCGUAGGCGGCCUGCUAAGUCGGAUGUGAAAUCCCUCGGCUUAACCGGGGAACUGCGUCUGAUACUGGAUGGCUUGAGUUCGGGAGAGGGAUGCGGAAUUCCAGGUGUAGCGGUGAAAUGCGUAGAUAUCUGGAGGAACACCGGUGGCGAAGGCGGCAUCCUGGACCGACACUGACACUGAGGAGCGAAAGCCAGGGGAGCAAACGGG
Molecule: ribosomal RNA, 253 nt
Filed under: uncultured bacterium
Lineage: Bacteria
Description: partial 16S ribosomal RNA
Rfam family: Bacterial small subunit ribosomal RNA
Source: RNAcentral